GUUGAACGCUGGCGGCGUGCCUAAUACAUGCAAGUCGAGCGAACAGAGGAGAAAGUUGGUUCUCUGACUUAAGCGGCGCGGACGGGAGUAUAAUGUGGGGAACAUUGCUUGAAGAAUGGGAAAAACUACUGAAACCGGUGGCUAAUACGGCUUAUCGAUGCAAGCGCAAGGAUGGAUAGUGUCAGGCGUCUUGGCUGUAGCUGAGACAUGAUGCCGUUCGGCAUUAGCUAGUUGGUCAGGUAACGGCUUACCCAGGCGACGAUUCGUAUCCGAUCUGAGAGGGUGAUCAGCCACACUGGAACUGAGACACGGUCCAGACUCCUACGGGAGGCAGCAGUAGGGAAUCUUGCGCAAUGGGCGAAAGCCUGACGGAGCAACGCCGCGUGAAUGAUGAAGGUCUUCGGAUCGUAAAACUCUGUUAGUAGGGAAGAACGAAUUUGUAAGUAACUAUGCGCGUAUUGACGUUACCUGAACAGAAAGCCACGGCUAACUACGUG
This 497-nucleotide ribosomal RNA is filed under the name uncultured bacterium. RNAcentral's name for it is "partial 16S ribosomal RNA". It matches the Rfam family "Bacterial small subunit ribosomal RNA", at positions 28 to 507 of the family's 1533-position model. The record is from RNAcentral.